This is a non-coding RNA of Phasianus colchicus (ring-necked pheasant), 1688 nucleotides long. The record is from RefSeq and is a predicted model, not a curated record. Lineage: Eukaryota; Metazoa; Chordata; Aves; Galliformes; Phasianidae.
UUUUGGAGAAUAGGGAACAGACCCUUUCUCUUUUUGUGAAGAGAGACAGCAUAUUUUGAAGAAUUGUGAUUUCAAGAAUAGAGCUUUGGCUGGAUCGUCAUAAUGGUGGAAUUCAGUGUGGGAGCAGCACUUUGUUCCAUCACAUUCCGUACCGAGCAUACUGCAAAAGGGCCUAUGAACGAUACACCUUCCUACCUGUGCGUAGAGAGGGGUGUGAUGGACCACACCGUGUGCCCUCCCAGUCAUGGUAGAACAUGUUUUGAUCAGGAAGAACAGUCCCAAUGAGAGGAAGGAUUUUAAAUGCCUUAGCCAGAGAUAAGACUGAGAAGUGUUCCUGUUCAGUCUAGAAUGACAGCUCUACAAUAACUGUGGUCUAAGAUCAGUGCAACUUGGUCAUGGUUUCAUUAAGUCUAUAGUCUUGAAUCAGUGCUCAGUACUAGGCUGUGCGAACAGGAAAGACAGCAGCCUAAAUAUCAAUUGGUUGGAGGACUGGAAAAAAGAUGAAAGCUGGGCCAUUUGACAGACAGACGUGAAAAGCUUGGAAUAUACAGAACCAUUUUACAGGAAGAAAGAAUUGUUUUUCAUUAAAACUGCCUGAACUUUGCCCUGCCUCAAAGUCAUAUUCUCCAGCAGUCAGAGCUUUGCCAACAUCUGGAGAAUCUGUCUUUGAGCGCUUGGGGAGAGAAGGAAUUUUUCUUCUGCAAGUGAGAGGAAUGGAUAAGCUUGCAACAGCACCUGCGUUAUCCGUUUCUCUGUGAGAUGGAAAACAGCCCUGCUCCAGCUGAACAGAGCUGGUGCUCCCCGCCAGCUGAUGGAAAGCUUGGUUGUUCUCAGUGGGUUGCUGGUAUUUGCUGGGUACCUCCUCAGCUCUGCCUGCACAGGGAGCACAUCCUGGUACAAAGCUGGAUGUGGGGGCUUGAGCUUUUACCCAAUCUGCUUCCUCCAGUGCUGUGGAGUUUUCCCCACAUUAGGAGGAGGUAUGGGACAUAGGAAUGGGUGUGUGCUGAGAACCUCUGGGGCUGAGGGAGAGGCCGAGCCCAGGGGUUCAGCCUGUCUACAGCCCAGCAAGUCCCCAUGUGGGCUGGUGGGGACGUGGGGAGGCUGUCGGGAUGCUGCUGCGCCAGGCUUCGGGCUGGCGGCUGUCUGUUUGUAGGGCAGGGGCAGCGGGCCCAUGAGCUGCCACCUGUUGUUAAUCUACCCCCGGCUAAUCCAUUCUGCACUGUGUCAGCAGUUCAAAAGGGCACUGUUAGUAUUUUUUGCCAACUUCAAUUAACGUGAGAUUUUGGAGGCCCCUCUGAUCGCAUUUCAUCUGUCAUGAGUCAGGAACAAAACAGACAGAUUCCAGUUGAGAGGAGAGAAGAGAAGGAGUUUAUUGCAAACCAAAACAACAACAACAGUGCUUGUACCUCCGCGGCCACGGGGGCUCGGGAGCGGGGGCCUUCCCAGCAAUUGCACCCCUUUAAAAAACUGGAAAAAUAAAAAUUAGUGCCCGGAAAUCCCAGCCCUCCCCUCCCCCCAAACAAACAAACAAAAUAAAAUGGAAGCUGCAAGUGCAAUAACUUACUUUGAAAAAACAUGGAAAGGACCAAGCUGCAAGUCUGUUUGUUCUUUUUUUAAUGUUCCACUGUAAUGAACUGCUAAUACAUGGCUGCAUAGGCAUUAACAUUGCAUGGCACAAACCUCACAUG